CACAUAUAUGUAAGAAGGGGGAAAAGGGAAAAAUAAAAACAAGAAAAGAAAAAGGAAAGAAAAAAAAAAUAUCAAAACAAAAAGAACGACAUUCAUAAACGGUGCUUCACCACCGUUCAACAUCUUCACCACCUUCACCAUCUUCACCAUCUUCUUCUCUCAAAAUCUUUAACAUUCUCCCUUCAUCACACAACCACCACCGUGUCGACGACACAACCACAACCGCCAUUAGAGGUGACACCAUAGAAGUAGGCGGCGCAAGGAAGAAAAGGGGGGUCGUCGUUGCUGUAAUUUGGAGCAUUUGGUGCUCGAAUUAGGGGCGUUUGCAAGUUAUUUCUCAUCCCCAAUCUUCUAUAUUAGUGGGUACAUGAAGGCUUAGAGUCGGGUAUGGGCGGAGAGCAACGUCCACUAGUUUUGCGUAAAUAUAAUUAUAAUAGUUCUGUUCUGGUGCAUUUCUUAUAUAUAAUCAAUAUUUUGAGACUUAGGGUUGUAAAUAUUAAUCCACCUAAUUCUUUAUCCGGUUAGGUUGUAAUAGUUUAAAAUAAACUUUAAAUUAGUUUUGGUGCAGGUAGUUCUUCCUUAGCGAUUAUUCUCGUAAUAAUCGUGGAAUAACACGUUUGGAUUUCGAGUAGUUAUACAGGAAUUUCGUUGGUAUUUGAAAUGGGUGGAGUUGUUGGGAAUUUGGAUUUUGGAUUGCUGAUUUGUUGAAACAGGUUUAAAAUUCGGACGCCAGUCCUAAAUUAAAUUUUAGGCAGUCUAUUUUUCAAACGGAACUCUGCCGAAUUUUCUAUAGAAUUUUAAUAUUAUUUAA
Long non-coding RNA from Beta vulgaris subsp. vulgaris (sugar beet), 811 nucleotides. RefSeq lists it as uncharacterized. The record is from RefSeq and is a predicted model, not a curated record. The transcript is spliced from 2 exons. Lineage: Eukaryota; Viridiplantae; Streptophyta; Magnoliopsida; Caryophyllales; Amaranthaceae.